AGUGAACGCUGGCGGCGUGGCUUAGGCAUGCAAGUCGAGCGCGAAAGUACCUUCGGGUAUGAGUAGAGCGGCGUAAGGGUGAGUAAUGUAUAGGCAACGGUACCCCUUGGACCGGGAUAGCUGCGGGAAACUGCAGGUAAUACCGGAUGGUCAAGCGAUGUGGCAUCACGAUGCUUGUAAACGGUUGGAUACUUCUGCCGAGGGAGCGGCCUAUGCCCUAUUAGCUAGUUGGUGAGGUAAUGGCUCACCAAGGCAACGAUGGGUAGCCGGACUGAGAGGUUGGCCGGUCACACUGGGACUGAGACACUGCCCAGACUCCUACGGGAGGCUGCAGUCGAGAAUCUUCCGCAAUGGACGCAAGUCUGACGGGGCGACGCCGCGUGUAGGA
Molecule: ribosomal RNA, 388 nt
Filed under: uncultured bacterium
Lineage: Bacteria
Description: bacterial SSU rRNA
Rfam family: Bacterial small subunit ribosomal RNA
Source: RNAcentral